Molecule: long non-coding RNA, 1714 nt
Filed under: Macaca mulatta (Rhesus monkey)
Lineage: Eukaryota; Metazoa; Chordata; Mammalia; Primates; Cercopithecidae
Description: lncRNA (ENSMMUG00000061107.1)
Source: RNAcentral
CCCGAAGUCCUCAGCAUGGGCCCCCGAGGGGCCUGGGCGUAGUGAGCGAAGCGGAGUCCGACGCCCCUGGCAGCAGGGAGGCUGCAGCAGCCACUCGGCCUCCCCCGACACCCCCGACCUGGACGCCGCGGAAACACCCAAUGCAAACAGAUUUUCCAGGGGAUUUUCAAAAGGGGGAGGGUAGAGUGUCGGGAAGCUCAGCCCCUUCCCGGACAAGGGGACUGGCCGGGACAAAGUUGCUGCAGACCUCCCGAUGGUCCGACGGCGCAGGUGGCCGGUGCGGCGUGGACGGGUGACUGCCACCUACAGCGCUUCUCGCGCCAGCCUCGCGACCCCUCUCCUUCCACAGUGGAGCUGUCCCGCGCGACAGUUCUUCGCCCUGGGCAAGAAUGCCAGGAAAAAGCCAAACACGGCAGGAGAAAAAUAUUUUCCUGUACACCCACCCAGCUGUUAUAAACCCUGAGAGCCGGCCCCCACCCCCUGCAACUAGUUAGGGAAACUAGGCAGGCGUCGUGCCACCUUGCUUGCUCCCCCCGCACCCCAACACUCAGGGAAUCCUAGGUUUGCACCUCAAGCUCGUUAGAGAUCAGUCGCAAACCCAACACCUCUGCUGCCACCAGAAGACAACCUUCACCCCUACACCCCUGGGGAGGGGCCACGUGGGUCUCCGUGGGCAGGAGUCGUCCGGCAGCAGCAGCCUCCGUGGUGCAAGAGCUGCAAGGUGAUAAUGAAAUGGAGUCCACGUGUGCGUUCAACACCAGACCGUCUUCAGGCUUCUCAGGGAUUCCUGGGCGAACACAAGCCCCGCGCAGGCUCCUCCCUCCCCUGCUCGCCCAAGCCUCCGCGCGGUCCCCAACAGACAGCCGGGUCGUGUGUCAGGGCGGUGGUGGAGACCCGGAUGGCUCUUUGCCCGCCCCCAUCCCUCGCUCCACUCUCGCUCUGCUUUUGCUCUUUUUCUUUCUCCGUGGACGCUCAGCCAAGGGAUUGCGCAAGCUUCCUGCUCGCGGUCCUUCAAGAGCCCGUAGCCGGGGCCCAGACACACCCCAGCUUGACUCUGGAGGCGGAUAGAAAUAGGACAUCUCGCCCCGUCAAUAAAGAGGACCAAGUGUAAAUUCGGAGCCCUUGAGGAUCGAGGUGAGAUCGUAUUUGGAGUCCUUUCUGCUGAGGUUCUUGGGUGCCAGGGUCCCGGAGCUGGCUGCUCCUCGGUCCCGUUCCUCGUGCAUUCUUCAAGCUCUCUUUGGCACCCAGUCCUCAGCCUUCUCCCCGCCCUGUCCCUUUCCCUCCUCGCGCUCCGAAAUGCCAGGAGCCUGGAGGCGAGGCGGGGCCCGCAGGAGGGCGCGAGCUGCCCCUGCCCCAUUCCGCCCCCUGCUGGCGGGGCCCGCGCGUCCCGGGCCGCUGGUGACGCAAUUCGGUGCAACUGGGAGCGGCGGCGGAUGCUUCCGUGGCCCCCAGCAGGGGUCCCGGGGCCGUGAACACUGAGAACGAGCUGCGAGGGGGAGGCCCGGGCACCAGGCUGCGGGCGAGGGGUCGCUGCCGAGACCCUCCCGGGCUGUCAAGCUCUCCGCCCGCCUCCGCCCCGGCGGACACACCUCUCCUUCCCGGUCCCGCUCCCUCUCUGCAGCCUCCCUCUCCCAGGCUCGCCGAUCCCUCCCCCCUGCACCUCCCCGGCGCCCUCCCCUCUGCGUCCCCCACCCGCGCCCUUUCCUCCUCCCCC